RNAcentral lists this ribosomal RNA (439 nucleotides) under uncultured bacterium. RNAcentral's name for it is "partial 16S ribosomal RNA". It matches the Rfam family "Bacterial small subunit ribosomal RNA", at positions 338 to 795 of the family's 1533-position model. The record is from RNAcentral.
CCUACGGGAGGCAGCAGUGGGGGAUAUUGAACAAUGGGGGAAACCCUUAUGCGGCGAUGCGGCGGGAAUGAAGACGGCUUUCGGGUUUAAAGGUUCUGUCGCAGGGGACGAAAAUGACGGUACCCUGCAAGAAGGCUCCGGCUAACUAGGUGCCAGCAGCCGCGGUAAUAGGUAGGGAGCAAGCGUGGUCCGGAAUUACUGGGUGUAAAGGGAGCGUAGGCGGGAGGAAAAGUUGAAUGUGAAAUCUAUGGGCUCAACCCAUAGCUGCGUUCAAAACUGUUCUUCUUGAGUGAAGUAGAGGCAGGCGGAAUUCCUAGUGUAGCGGUGAAAUGCGUAGAUAUUAGGAGGAACACCAGUGGCGAAGGCGGCCUGCUGGGCUUUUACUGACGCUGAGGCUCGAAAGCGUGGGUAGCAAACAGGAUUAGAUACCCUUGUAGUC